Molecule: ribosomal RNA, 1450 nt
Filed under: Pseudoalteromonas sp. S407
Lineage: Bacteria; Pseudomonadati; Pseudomonadota; Gammaproteobacteria; Alteromonadales; Pseudoalteromonadaceae
Description: partial 23S ribosomal RNA
Rfam family: Bacterial large subunit ribosomal RNA
Source: RNAcentral
CGUAGGGCGUUUGUUUAGGUAAAUCCGGACGAACAUUAAACCUGAGACACGAGACGAGUCACUACGGUGAUGAAGUUGCUGAUGCCAUACUUCCAGGAAAAGCCUCUAAGCUUCAGAUUAUACCGAAUCGUACCCCAAACCGACACAGGUGGUCAGGUAGAGAAUACUAAGGCGCUUGAGAGAACUCGGGUGAAGGAACUAGGCAAAAUCGUACCGUAACUUCGGGAGAAGGUACGCUCCUAUCUGUGAUGAGACUUGCUCUCUAAGCGGACGGGAGCCGCAGUGACCAGGUGGCUGGGACUGUUUAUUAAAAACACAGCACUGUGCAAAAUCGCAAGAUGACGUAUACGGUGUGACACCUGCCCGGUGCCGGAAGGUUAAUUGAUGGGGUUAUCUUCGGAGAAGCUCUUGAUCGAAGCCCCGGUAAACGGCGGCCGUAACUAUAACGGUCCUAAGGUAGCGAAAUUCCUUGUCGGGUAAGUUCCGACCUGCACGAAUGGUGUAACCAUGGCCACGCUGUCUCCACCCGAGACUCAGUGAAAUUGAAAUCGCAGUGAAGAUGCUGUGUACCCGCGGCUAGACGGAAAGACCCCGUGAACCUUUACUACAGCUUGGCACUGAACAUUGAACCUACAUGUGUAGGAUAGGUGGGAGACUUUGAAGAUGAGACGCUAGUCUUGUUGGAGUCGUCCUUGAAAUACCACCCUUGUAGUUUUGAUGUUCUAACGUUGGCCCCUGAAUCGGGGUUACGGACAGUGCCUGGUGGGUAGUUUGACUGGGGCGGUCUCCUCCCAAAGAGUAACGGAGGAGCACGAAGGUUGGCUAAGUACGGUCGGACAUCGUACGGUUAGUGUAAUGGUAGAAGCCAGCUUAACUGCGAGACAGACACGUCGAGCAGGUACGAAAGUAGGUCAUAGUGAUCCGGUGGUUCUGAAUGGAAGGGCCAUCGCUCAACGGAUAAAAGGUACUCCGGGGAUAACAGGCUGAUACCGCCCAAGAGUUCAUAUCGACGGCGGUGUUUGGCACCUCGAUGUCGGCUCAUCACAUCCUGGGGCUGAAGUCGGUCCCAAGGGUAUGGCUGUUCGCCAUUUAAAGUGGUACGCGAGCUGGGUUUAGAACGUCGUGAGACAGUUCGGUCCCUAUCUGCCGUGGGCGUUUGAGAAUUGAGAGGGGUUGCUCCUAGUACGAGAGGACCGGAGUGAACGAACCGCUGGUGUUCGGGUUGUCAUGCCAAUGGCAUUGCCCGGUAGCUACGUUCGGAACUGAUAAGCGCUGAAAGCAUCUAAGCGCGAAGCAGGCCUCGAGAUGAGUUCUCACUAGACUUUUAAAGUCUCUGAAGGGCCGUUGAAGACUACAACGUUGAUAGGCAAGAUGUGGAAGUGGUGUGAGCCAUUAAGCUAACUUGUACUAAUUACCCGUGAGGCUUAACCAUACAACGCCAAACGCGUUU